UCCCGUAAACGGCGUAAAGAGUGGUGCUAUGAUAUCAUAACAACUAAGAUCAAAGCGCAACUAGGCUGUCAUAAGCUCAAGAUGUACUUAAGGCCCUCCUCAAAAUGAUCCUAGCACUCCCGAUUGAUUUAACCCCACGAAAGCUAGGGCACAAACUGGGAUUAGAUACCCCAUUAUGCCUAGCCCUAAAUCUUGAUGUCUUGCCACUACCAAAGCAUCCGCCUGAGAACUACGAGCACAAACGCUUAAAACUCUAAGGACUUGGCGGUGCCCCAAACCCACCUAGAGGAGCCUGUUCUAUAAUCGAUAACCCACGAUCCACCCGACCACCCCUUGCCAGAGGCAGCCUACAUACCGCCGUCGCCAGUUCACCUUCCCUGAGAGCCCCGCAGUGAACACAAUAGCCUAGCCCCGCUAACAAGACAGGUCGAGGUAUAGCCUAUGGGGUGGAAGAAAUGGGCU
Molecule: ribosomal RNA, 462 nt
Filed under: Limosa fedoa
Lineage: Eukaryota; Metazoa; Chordata; Aves; Charadriiformes; Scolopacidae
Description: partial 12S ribosomal RNA
Rfam family: Bacterial small subunit ribosomal RNA
Source: RNAcentral